AACGAACGCUGGCGGCAUGCCUAACACAUGCAAGUCGAACGAGACCUUCGGGUCUAGUGGCGCACGGGUGCGUAACGCGUGGGAACCUGCCCUUAGGUUCGGAAUAACUCUCCGAAAGGGGUGCUAAUACCGGAUAAUGUCUUCGGACCAAAGAUUUAUCGCCUUUGGAUGGGCCCGCGUUGGAUUAGCUAGUUGGUAGGGUAAAAGCCUACCAAGGCGACGAUCCAUAGCUGGUCUGAGAGGAAGAUCAGCCACACUGGGACUGAGACACGGCCCAGACUCUUACGGGAGGGAGCAGUGGGGAAUAUUGGACAAUGGGCGAAAGCCUGAUCCAGCAAUGCCGCGUGAGUGAUGAAGGCCUGAGGGUAGUAAAGCUCUUUUACCCGGGAUGAUAAUGACAGUACCGGGAGAAUAAGCUCCGGCUAACUCCGUG
Molecule: ribosomal RNA, 433 nt
Filed under: uncultured bacterium
Lineage: Bacteria
Description: partial 16S ribosomal RNA
Rfam family: Bacterial small subunit ribosomal RNA
Source: RNAcentral